GUUCGAGUGGCAGCUUGGGGCGUAGCGGGCGUGAACUUCCCAGAGUUUCUCAGAUUGUUAGAUAUUGAAGGUAGUGACUGAAAAAUCAUUGCAGUAAUCCCAGGGAAGGAAAGCUCGAGUCGUUCCACCUGUGUCUUCUGCUCCGGUCCGCAAGAGUUUUGCUGAAUUAAAAGUCACUACUUUAAUUAAAAAGCAGGAUAAACCUGGGUUUGGGAGUCGGAAGGCCUUAGGAGGCUCAAGAGCACCAGUUGAGGAAGUGUGAACAUUUUGACUGGAGUCAAUCUCAACCCAAUCAACUUUCCCUGUGCUGGCCAACCCUUUCAUCACAAGCCAUAUAUAUAGCUGCUGAGCCCUGGAAAUGUAAGCAGUCUGAAGUGAAAGAUGCUGUGAGCACUGCACACAGACUAGUACCCAACCCUUCCCCAAAGAGAGCAAAAUACCUCAUUAAUAGUGAUAGUGCACAUAUUACAGUUAUUUGCUGGCAUAAUUUUUGAUGUGUUGGGUUAAAUAAAGAAACUUUCCUGUCACUCACCUGUUUGGUUUUACUGUUUUUGAACUAGGGCAUCAGAAACGAUGAGGCUACGUGCUUAACUCCCACUGUUUUCUCUCCAGCUCAGCACUCCACAGACAGAAAGUCUGUGGUGAGGAGCAGUGGGUAUCUGUACCACUGCAUCCCAUAUUCCAAA
Molecule: long non-coding RNA, 686 nt
Filed under: Mus pahari (shrew mouse)
Lineage: Eukaryota; Metazoa; Chordata; Mammalia; Rodentia; Muridae
Description: lncRNA (MGP_PahariEiJ_G0002584.1)
Source: RNAcentral